CUGCACUGAUGACCUCUGUUUUGUGCCACAUGUCUGGGCCACUGAUCUGCACUGAUGGGUUUGAGGAAGCUUUUCUGUUUUUCUGUAA
Molecule: small nucleolar RNA, 88 nt
Organism: Myxocyprinus asiaticus (Chinese sucker)
Lineage: Eukaryota; Metazoa; Chordata; Actinopteri; Cypriniformes; Catostomidae
Product: small nucleolar RNA SNORD66
Exons: 1
Source: RefSeq, a predicted model, not a curated record